Spodoptera frugiperda (fall armyworm) is the source of this 2895-nucleotide long non-coding RNA. RefSeq lists it as uncharacterized. The transcript is spliced from 4 exons. The record is from RefSeq and is a predicted model, not a curated record. NCBI's taxonomy places the organism in Eukaryota, Metazoa, Arthropoda, Insecta, Lepidoptera, Noctuidae.
GUAACUCGAAGUUAGCUCUGAGCAUACUGUGAAUCACGGCGUGCCCCCGGCGUCGUCUGCUGAUAAUGAGUACCAAACUAGUAUAAAGCAGCUUGCCGGCCGACCGCCCGCUCAGUCCUGUCUUGUACACAGACGUGAGCGUGUGUGUGAUUAUCUUACCCUUGGACGUCCUUCCUUUUAUCUUUUAUAAUGGCUGACUCUGACCGCAUUGUGUACCCUGACGAGGUCGCCGAGGCCAAGGCAGACGCUAUUGCUGCAGCAGAAGCUGAAGACAAGACGUCAGGCGGAGACAGCAACACCGUGGACACACCAGCCCCCGGAGGAAUCAUAAUGAGGAAUGCUAUCACAGUUCCUGACAACUGUCCACCUGGCUAUAAGAUGGGAGCUGACGGCGUUUGUCGUGAAGUGUUUUAACUGUUUGCAUGUAAUUCUAAGUUAGCAGCUAAAGAGAGUCGAGCAUAUUUUUAUGUAAAGGCAUAAUGUAAUACGCCAGUAUUUUAUAACAAAAUUCGCAGCAACUGAAUGUGUUACAUUAAAUGAAACUAUUUAAUUUAACACAUUCACAUUAUUGCGCAUGGUAUUGUACGAGUAUUAUUAAAUUUAAAUCGAAUUGGAGAUGUACUUUCUAUUUAUAUUUAAGUUUUGUGGUUAUAUUAAUAUUGUCUGUUUGUGUUGUUAAUGAAAAUAAUGAUAUUUUUUAUUAAAAUACUAACUGCCGUAAUAAGAGACAUUUAAUAAAUACUUAAACUAUUCACACGUUUACUUUUAGGAAAUAUUUUCUUAUCUUAGCAGUUAAUAAGCUUUCCGUGGAAUGCAGGUAGGUACAACCUCAUGACUGACGAACGAGGGUGAUGCAUAUGAUUUGUAGCCAGCAAUGUUAGGAGUCGACUAUCCAGGCUGUUUAAAGUUUAAUCUAAGUCCACUUGAGUAUGCCAAAAGAAUACAUUAGGACCGGCAUGACCCAACCGUUAAAGGCUCUGCCUGAUAAGGAAGUGUUCAGUAACCUAUUGAGGCGGCUAAAGAAGCGCUCCUUAAGCUAUUCAAAUGAAUAGCUUCAAGUCCGAUCCAUUAAUGGCUAUUAAUAUUAUUAUUCUUCUUAUCUAUUUUUAAUACUAUAAUUAUCGUACUGGGUGGCGGUCCGUGGAAAAGAUCUGGAGCUGUCUACCACUGUGUGCAUCGAAAUGCUGCCAACUACAGUACCCAGGUCACCUAGCGCAGGCCUCUGCGCAGCGUAUCCUGGUUGCCAGCAUCGGGUGUGAAGAGGCUGUGCUAGUACCUAUGACAGUACAGUAGAUAUAUAGUAUGACUAGUACUAGAGACAGAAAUAGGAGGAUGUUGAAGAGAUCGAGAGAUGGCCGAUCCUGCUAGUAUAGGGUGCCAAGGUGCCUUAGAGCUUAAUACGCCGAUAUUUAGCCUUCAUUAUCUGCAGGCAGACUUUUGGGACCACUGGCGUCUAGAGUGGGGACUUUAAGCGCCUAUCCAGUGACCUGCCGUGCAAAGGCGUGACAGGCGUUAUUCAUAAUAAGUUUCUAUUUGCAUGUUACUUUUCCAAGAAAUUUUAGUUCUUUAGGGUUUCUUAGCCUAAUGGCAAAAAACGGAAGCCUUAUAGAUUUGUCAUGUGCGUCUGUCUGUCCGUCCAUACCUAUGUCACAGCCAUUUAUUUCCGAAACUGUCAGGCCUACAUAGUUGACACUUUGUAGGUUGAUGUAUUCUGGUAACCGCUAUUUGAAUAUUGAAUAAAAAUUAAUAAAUUCAAAAAUUAAAGUGGCUACAUACAUUGAUUAAAAAAUCUUUUCCGCUUACCUAUUCGUGAUGGGUGGCUAUAGAUAGGGCUUUAAAAAAUACAUUGAGGUUUCUAAAACCAUUUUUCAUUAACAUCAAGUUUUUGAAAGAUAAGUGUCCAAAAUGUUAGAAAAACUUUAAAAUAAGAGAGUGAAAAACUAAAAAAAAAUUAGCCUGUAGAUUUCAAUGGAAACUUUCAACGAAAUAUGGUUUGAACGAGAUAUCAUUAUUAGUUUUUAAGUUUAAUAGUUUUUAAACUUAAUCGUUCAUACAAACACUAUGUAAAACAAGGUUUCUUUUUUAUAAACCAUCGAUCAAAGUUUACAACGCACUACAAUAACCUUUAUAUUAUGUCAUCUACUUGCUGCUACGAAUCCCUUCAUGAGGGAGUCCGACUCGCACUUGACCGGUUUUUUAGGUAAACUGAUUUAUGAAAGCCAUAAUUUAACCAGAGCUGGCCUGAAGACGAUUGUCGGUAUUUUUAUAGACAAUAGGGACAAUUCUAAGAGCUGGCCCUGUUUCAACGAAAUUCUUAUGUCAUUUAGAGUUUCUGUAGUAGCACCUUUUUUCGAAAUUUUGACGGCCUCUUUUUACUGACUUCAUAAAUAAAAAAGUAAAUAAAAUACCAAAAAAAAAUGUUAUUUUUAUCAUUGAAUUGAAAAUAAUUAUAAGAUUCUUAUGUGCUACUCAUCCACGAAUAGAACUGAUGUAAAACAUAUUCGAAAAGAUUUUAUAUUUCUGUAAAUUACUUACCUAUAAUCUAGCCCCCGUACGGCUGACACACCGGCAGCGGCAGCUACGUUCCAUGGAUUGGAUAUGGAAGUGUGGAUAAUAUGGAUCUCUGGUCACUAGGCGUCUAGUUUUAGUCAAUGUAGAAGGUUUUUUGAAUAUCGAAUACAGCUGAGCAUUGACCACAUCGAGUAGGUUACAAAAUUGUUCUUCAGUCUUCCCGACAUCGUUGACGACUGUCGCAAAGGAACAAAACUGCCAGUCGACGGCGUCUGUCUUGAAGUCUAGAUUCAGGCACUGCUGUGGUGUCUCGAACAGAACUCUCCAAUAAAUUUAAUGUAAUUUUAUUUGGUUUUAAUUUGAAUAAAGUGAGUUUCAAAUAAA